This is a long non-coding RNA of Cucumis melo (muskmelon), 3458 nucleotides long. RefSeq lists it as uncharacterized. The record is from RefSeq and is a predicted model, not a curated record. The transcript has 3 exons. NCBI's taxonomy places the organism in Eukaryota, Viridiplantae, Streptophyta, Magnoliopsida, Cucurbitales, Cucurbitaceae.
CGAAAUCAUAAUCCAAACUCCCAACCAAACAAAAAUUCAUUUAACUUGAAGAAUCUAAAAACAUAAAACAGAAUCUAAGUUGUCUACCAAACAAGCCCAAAACUUUUCAUUUGAUGAAAUAUAAAAGAGACCAAAGUUCAAGGAUAAGAACCCCACAUGGAAACAAAGAAAUCAACAAAAGAAAAAAAAAUUUUAAAAACGCGACAGAUCUCAAAUUUUAUCCAUAAAACGAGACUAAUGCUCAAAGUAGAUGAGAGUUACACAAAGAGCACCCAAAUGGAGAGAUCGAUGAUCAACAACUACACCCGACUAUCUCAACAAGGUUGACAUCAUAUCCACCAAAAAAACUAACAGCAAAAGAUCAAUUAUAGAAAAGGCUAAAUUCACCCCUCCCCCAAAUCUUGAGGGAACAAUGAUAACCCAUACAAGAAACGGAGAGGAAGAAAAGAAAUACAAAGAUACAACCAACGUACAAACUAUAGGAAAAAUCUAACGAUUGGGAGAAAUAAAGAACCCCAAUUUAAGUUAAUCUCCAACAUGCUAUAAGCUUCAAAAUUUUUAUUUAGGGAACACCAAAGUGAAGCAUUAUGUGCAUCUUUUUCUUUAUACACUCGUGUCUCCAACUCCCACCCACGAUCUAUCUCCUUCCUUGUCUGUCCUUAAUCGUCCACCAAUAAUUAAAGUCUACUUUCGUCGGCGACAACUUCCAAGUGAAUGUUAUGUCCCAAAAAACUCUUUGUUAUCAAAUCCAGAACCAAGUGAUGAGCUGCUCAUUGCCCUUCGUAAAGGUAAACAUUGUUGCACUUAUCCUAUUGAUUCUUGUGUAUCUCAUGACUAAUUAUCAUCUCCUUCAUGUUAGUUUGUUAGAUCUCUCGACUCCGUCUUGAUACCAAGGACCAUUCAUGAAGCUUUGUCUCAUUCUCAGUGGCGCAAAGCAAUGAUUGAAGAGGUGAAUGCCCUAGAUAAUAAUGGUACUUGGGAUUUAGAAUCUAUUUCGGUAGGAAAGAAGAUUGUAGGAUGUAAAUGGGUGUUCGUAAUUAAGGUUAAUCCCGAUAGAUCAAUAGCUCGUUUAAAAGCACACCUAGUAGCUAAAGGUUAUGCUCAGACGUAGGGAGUUGAUUACUUUGACACAUUCUCGAUUGUUGCUAAACUCUCUUCAGUUAGGUUAUUCAUUUCUAUCUCGGCAUCCCAAGAUUGGCCCUUAAAUUAACUUAAAAUAAAAAAUGAUUUUCUCCAUGGUGAUCUUCAAAAGGAAGUCUAUAUGGAGCAACCAGCUGGGUUUGUUGCUUAGGAGAAAGUCAUAAACUCUAUCACCUUCACAAAUCCUUGUAUGGGUUGAAACAGAGUUCACGUGCAUGGUUUCGGAAAUUUAGUCAAGCACUUGAGAAGUUUGAAAUAAAGAAAAACCAAUCGGAUCACUUAGUUUUCUACGGUAGAUAUAUGAGUGGAAUUAUUAUAAUUAUUGUAUAUGUUGAUGAUAUUGUUAUAACCGAGAGUGAUACAUCAUGCAUAUUGUCUCUCAAAUCUUUCAUACUAAAGAUUUAGGAAUGCUAAAGUAUUUUUUGGACAUUGAAGCAAUGAGAAGCAAGAAAGGUAUUUUUAUGUCAUAGAGAAAAUGUGUGCUUGAUUUGUUAUCUGAGACGGGAUAAUUGGAAGCCAAGCCAUGCAGCACUCCAGUGAUGCCUGGACUACAACUCUUAAAAGAAGGAUAACCAUUUAAAGAUCCUUAGAGAUAUAGAAGACUGGUUGAGAAGUUGAAUUACAUUACAGUAACACGUCCAGACAUAGCUUAUUCGGCAUUGUGAGUCCGUUUGUCUUCACUCACAGUGAAACAUUGGGAUGCAAUACAACAGAUUCUAUGUUUUUUCAAAAAGGAGACAAACUUCUUUAUUAAUGAUAAAAUUUCAAAGUACAAGAGGUACAUACAUUAAGAAUAAUAAAGAAGCAUAAAGCAAAAAACCUAGGGGAUUAGAAAGUGCACCCAAACAUCUCAACUAGAAUGACACCCCCUUAGCACCAAAACAUCAUAUCCCAUAUUUAAGCAUGAACAAAGCAAAGAAAAUAAAAAAUAGAUAGUACAAACUAUGAAAGUCCAGCAAAAUAACAUAGGCCGAGACUAGGAAAGAAGUCUAAAAAGAUUAUGUAAAGACAGAAACAGAAACUACAGCCGUUGAAUAAUGCAAAAAUGAGGUUGGGUCCAAUACUGGAUGAAAAUUAAGAGACUGGUUGGGAGAGGAAAGCUGUCCAGUUGAGAUAAAUAUUUUAAAUAGAGUAAGCCCCGAACUCCUUGUUUAAAGAAGCCCAAGCUGCUGCACUUCUUUCUGUAGAGAGGACUUCUAAACACAACUUUUCUUUGUCAUGGAAUAUCUUCUGAUUUCUUUCAAACUACAGUUUGAAGAGGAUAGCUUUUAGCAAAUUUGACUUUUAUUCUAGGAGAGCAUAGACAAAUUCUAUGUUACCUUAAGGUUACACCUGGAUUUGAAAUCUUAUAUAAAAAUCAUGGUCAUAUGAACAUCGAACGUUUUUCAAAUGCUGAUUGGGCGGAUCAAAAGAAGACAGAAGAUUGGCUUCUAGGUGUCGUGUUUUUGUGGGAGGAAAUUUGGUUUCGUUGGAUAGUAAGAAGCAAAACGUAGUUUCACAAUGUGGCUACAUCAACUAUUGAGUGAAUUCGGUUUUAAUACUACAAUUCCAUCUAACCUAGUAUUUCAUAAGCGUACUACACACAUUGAAGUUGAUUGUCAUUUGUUCGCGAAAAAAUACAAGAUUUAGUGUCAACCGGAUAUGUGAAGACUGGAAAAGAAGUAGGAGAUAUCUUUGUAAAAGCUUUGAAAGGAGUUCGAAUAGUAUAUAUAUAAUUAUGUAACAAGUUGCGCAUGUAUAUAUACGCUCCAGCUUAAAGGGGAGUGUUAUAGUAUAUAUGUAAUUAUAGGAGCUUAUCAAUCUUUUGUCCUUUAUUGUAAUUUGCUAGUCUUUAUCUAGGGUUUCCAUGUAUGCCUAUAUAUAUUGAACUCUAUUAUAUAGAAUGCAACAGGGAGUUAUUUCAUAUUUGUUGAUAUUUCAUAUUUGUUGACUAUGUCUUGUCCCUUGGUUUGUAAUCUCAUAUAUGACGAGAAGAAACUGCCAACGUCAUUGAGAUGUCCAGGAUGUGACAAGGGUGCUCUGCGGUGUCAAUCUAGUUGAGAGGCUCAGAUGCACAUACGGAAGUCGAAAGAAGCUUUUUAUUCUUUUCUUUGAAAAGGAAACCAGACUCUUACAUUAAAAGUCGAAAGAAGCUUACUAAAAAUCAGCUGGAGAAAUGGUCAAUCAUUGUUGCAUUGUCCCUAAUGAGCUAACUUUAUUGGAUUUUACUUCGGCAUAUGUAAAAGAUGUUAGAGACAAAAGAAUGAUCAGACGACAUUGCAGGUGCAAAUCCCCACCCCCACAAAUAGUUGAGCUAAAAUGGGAAAAAAAUAUCACCA